GCCCGAAGAGAGAAGCUGUUUUCUCUCAGAGAUGGAACAUGUUAGCUGGUUGCCAUGAUGUCUUCAUUUGUCCAUCGCUGCCCCUCUGUGAGCAGGCAGCCAUCAGGACAGAGAGUGGCAUGCUGGACAGGCCGACUCUGACAAGGAGCAAGCUUUCUCCCACCUGCACCAUGCAAUUCCAGCACAUGUGGGUAACAUGUGCUACGAAGUCAGAGGACCUGCAUUGCAACUGUGGCAAAUUGCUUAAGCUUUUGGAGCCUGAGCUGCUUGGGCUAUAAGACGGGUGAAUGGUACCCACAGUCAGAUGUGUUUCUGGAAGAAAUGACAUCAGCAUGCCUAUCCCUGUCUCUGGCCAAGCCUCCUACUGGCCUAUGGAGGCUUCCCUCGGUGAGCACAAAAGACGUUGCAGGCAAAUCCACCCUCUUCUGUACCAGGCAGAGCUUUGACUCAAAUCCCUAGAAGACUUCUACCAUGGAAAUGGGAGCUGGGCCCUGUGUGAGUGUCAAGAGUCUUUUGCUUUUUUUAUCUUAGGGCUAGAGUUGGGCCAGGCAAUUUGGUUUUUCAUCAGGUUAGAAAACCUGCCCAAGAUGAUAGCAUCCAUGUGUAACAGAGCCCAGGCCCUAAGCCCACAUCUGCUGAUCCCAAAGCCUAGCUCCUUCCUCUCCCUCUCCAUUUUAUACUGAUGGGCAUGGAAUCCAAAGGGACCACUUUGGUGCCUGUCAGAUUACUGAGAACUCAAAAACAAAACAAAACAAAACAAAGACAAAUGGCAACAAGGAAACCCAAAACAACAGCAAAACAGAACAGCUGCAGCUGAUCCUGGAGAAGAUGCCCUGGGGGCUUCCUGGCUUUCCCGCCCUUUGGGGUAGAUCAUGGCAGAUGGGCCACCCUGACUUGGUUUGAUCCUCAGUUAUUGCAGCACCCACACAACUCUGCUCCUCAGUCCCUCACCAAAGACUCACCUUCUGUGGCAGAAACCAGCCACAGUGGGAUGAGACAGGGUGGGGUCCAGCGUGCACCAUUCCUUGCUGCAGGACUCCCUGGUGAAAUAAGGAGAGAGCCAGUGGGGUGUGGCUUAGCGGUGCUGGACCCAUGGGGUGUGACUUAAUGGUGCUGACCCAGUAGGCAUGGCUUAGUGGUGCUGCACCAGUAGGGUGUGGCUUAAUGACACUAGCAGGAGCCCCAUGAUUAUGCACGUGGAGUGGCAGGGUCAGCGAUGAGAAAUUCGGCAAGUUGGCUAGCCCAGCCUCCUUCCCAACAGUCUCCGCCAACACCCAACAUUGACAGCACCAGCUCUCAGGAGAAUGCUCUGGUGGCAGCACCCACAAGCUCUGUGGUCACGGCUUUCCCUGCCUGAUCUCCACGCCACUGCACACCAGCCUGAGAGACAGAGCACGACUCCAUCUCAAAGAAAAAACAAAAAAGAAAAGAAAA
RNAcentral lists this long non-coding RNA (1434 nucleotides) under Homo sapiens (human). Its description in RNAcentral is "long independently transcribed non-coding RNA 2958 (LINC02958)". The record is from RNAcentral. Lineage: Eukaryota; Metazoa; Chordata; Mammalia; Primates; Hominidae.